Erinaceus europaeus (western European hedgehog) is the source of this 107-nucleotide small nuclear RNA. Lineage: Eukaryota; Metazoa; Chordata; Mammalia; Eulipotyphla; Erinaceidae. The record is from Ensembl.
GUGUUCAUUUUGGCAAUACAUAUUCCAAAAUUAAAAUGACACUGAGAAUAUUAAUAUAGUCCCUGGAAAAGAAUGACACGCUCAUUUGAGAAGUGUCUUGUAUUUUC